AAAAUGGCUCUUUUAAGAGCCACUAAAAACCAUUAAGAUCUUGAUC
Non-coding RNA from Oreochromis niloticus (Nile tilapia), 46 nucleotides. The record is from Rfam. Lineage: Eukaryota; Metazoa; Chordata; Actinopteri; Cichliformes; Cichlidae.